Molecule: ribosomal RNA, 439 nt
Filed under: uncultured bacterium
Lineage: Bacteria
Description: bacterial SSU rRNA
Rfam family: Bacterial small subunit ribosomal RNA
Source: RNAcentral
UGGGGAAUAUUGGUCAAUGGGCGAAAGCCUGAACCAGCAAUGCCGCGUGAGUGAUGAAGGCCUUCGGGUUGUAAAGCUCUGUCAAGGGGAAAGAAUAAGCUAGUAAUAGUGAUGACGGUACCCCUUAAGAAAGCACCGGCUAACUCUGUGCCAGCAGCCGCGGUAAUACAGAGGGUGCAAGCGUUGUUCGGAAUUACUGGGCGUAAAGCGCGUGUAGGCGGUCUGGUAUGUCGGUUGUGAAAUCCCUCGGCUUAACCGAGGAACUGCAUCCGAAACUGCCAGACUUGAGUGUCGGAGGGGAUGGCGGAAUUCCCGGUGUAGAGGUAAAAUUCGUAGAUAUCGGGAGGAACACCUGUGGCGAAGGCGGCCAUCUGGAAGACAACUGACGCUGAGACGCGAAAGCGUGGGGAGCAAACAGGAUUAGAUACCCCCGUAGUCC